RNAcentral lists this ribosomal RNA (422 nucleotides) under uncultured bacterium. RNAcentral's name for it is "partial 16S ribosomal RNA". It matches the Rfam family "Bacterial small subunit ribosomal RNA", at positions 360 to 774 of the family's 1533-position model. The record is from RNAcentral.
AAUAUUGGACAAUGGGGGCAACCCUGAUCCAGCCAUGCCGCGUGUGUGAAGAAGGUCUUCGGAUUGUAAAGCACUUUAAGUUGGGAGGAAGGGCUUUAGGCUAAUACCCUGAAGUUUUGACGUUACCAACAGAAUAAGCACCGGCUAACUCUGUGCCAGCAGCCGCGGUAAUACAGAGGGUGCAAGCGUUAAUCGGAAUUACUGGGCGUAAAGCGCGCGUAGGCGGUGGCGUGAGUCGGGCGUGAAAGCCCCGGGCUUAACCUGGGAAUUGCGUUCGAUACUGCGCUGCUAGAGUACGGUAGAGGGUAGUGGAAUUUCCUGUGUAGCGGUGAAAUGCGUAGAUAUAGGAAGGAACACCAGUGGCGAAGGCGACUACCUGGACUGAUACUGACACUGAGGUGCGAAAGCGUGGGGAGCAAACA